GAAUAUUGGACAAUGGGGGCAACCCUGAUCCAGCCAUGCAGCGUGUGUGAAGAAGGCCUUUUGGUUGUAAAGCACUUUAAGCAGGGAAGAAGACUCCAUGGUUAAUACCCAUGCACGAUGACAUUAGCUGCAGAAUAAGACCCGGCUAACGCUGUUCCCGCAACCGCGGUAAUACAGAGGGUGCAAGCGUUAAUCGGAAUUACUGGGCGUAAAGCGAGCGUAGGUGGAUUGAUAAGUCAGAUGUGAAAUCCCCGGGCUUAACCUGGGAACUGCAUCUGAUACCGUUAGGCUAGAAUAGGUGAGAGGAAGGUAGAAUUCCAGGUGUAGCGGUGAAAUGCGUAGAGAUCUGGAGGAAUACCGAUGGCGAAGGCAGCCUUCUGGCAUCAUAUUGACACUGAGGUUCGAAAGCGUGGGUAGCAAAC
Molecule: ribosomal RNA, 422 nt
Filed under: uncultured bacterium
Lineage: Bacteria
Description: partial 16S ribosomal RNA
Rfam family: Bacterial small subunit ribosomal RNA
Source: RNAcentral